This 532-nucleotide ribosomal RNA is filed under the name uncultured bacterium. Its description in RNAcentral is "bacterial SSU rRNA". It matches the Rfam family "Bacterial small subunit ribosomal RNA", at positions 777 to 1305 of the family's 1533-position model. The record is from RNAcentral.
AAUAGAUACCCAGGUAGUCCAUGCCGUAAACGUUGGGCACUAGGUGUGGGGCUCAUUCCACGAGUUCCGUGCCGCAGCAAACGCAUUAAGUGCCCCGCCUGGGGAGUACGGCCGCAAGGCUAAAACUCAAAGGAAUUGACGGGGGCCCGCACAAGCGGCGGAGCAUGCGGAUUAAUUCGAUGCAACGCGAAGAACCUUACCAAGGGCUUGACAUGCACGGGAAGCCACCAGAGAUGGUGGUCUCUUUGGACACUCGUGCACAGGUGGUGCAUGGUUGUCGUCAGCUCGUGUCGUGAGAUGUUGGGUUAAGUCCCGCAACGAGCGCAACCCUGUCCCAUGUUGCCAGCGGGUUAUGCCGGGGACUCAUGGGAGACUGCCGGGGUCAACUCGGAGGAAGUGGGGAUGACGUCAAAGUCAGUCAUGCCCCUUAUGUCUUGGGCUUCACGGCAUGCUACAAUGGCCGGUACAAAGGGCUGCGAUACCGUAAGGUGGAGCGAAUCCCAAAAAGCCGGUCUCAGUUCGGAUUGGGGUC